This is a long non-coding RNA of Myxocyprinus asiaticus (Chinese sucker), 689 nucleotides long. RefSeq lists it as uncharacterized. Lineage: Eukaryota; Metazoa; Chordata; Actinopteri; Cypriniformes; Catostomidae. The transcript has 3 exons. The record is from RefSeq and is a predicted model, not a curated record.
CCUGAAUGGAGCAUUUGAGCUUUACCACAUUGAUCGUUAAUAAUGGGGAGUGAUUAGGCAUACACUGAGUAAACGAUAAUAUACGAAGAAAGAAAGUCUUACACAUCUGGGAUUGCAUGAGGUUUCUGACUUCUUUUUGGCUUUGGGCGAAGAAUGAAGAACUUCACCUAGAGUAUGCAGAGGCCUUAAGUGUGAGUAAAUGAUGAGAAAAUUUAGCUUUUUGGGUGAACUCUCCCUUUAAGAAAACCACCUCCAAUACAAAAACUUUCAACCUAACGAUCACUACAAGAAAUAGCCUUGUGAGCCUACUAAAGGGAAAACAAAAACCUUCUAGUGAGUUAAAUAAAGUAUUUUCAAUAUUUUUUUUUCUUCACAUUCUGACCAGUAAUGAAAAAAAAUUAUUGACCUGAAUUAUAGUUGGUUGAAAAGCAUUGUGUCCUAUGUAAUACUGUGAUGAUUCAAAAUACCCAAACAAGAUGUUUUUAUGCUUAAUGACAAUGAAGGGUAGGGAUUUCAUUUUUAACAGGCUGAAAACUAGAAAAAUCAGAUCUGAACCUGACUCCUCCAAACUAUGGUCUACCAAUUAGUUGAGAAGACUAUCAAUUAAGAACGUACUUUUUGAUUCAAUUGGUUUUGAAUAAAUUGUGCGUUUUGUUUUUAUGUAUGUACACUGCCAGCCAAAAGUUUGG